GGGUUGUGAGGUUAAGCGACUAAGCGUACACGGUGGAUGCCCUGGCAGUCAGAGGCGAUGAAGGACGUGCUAAUCUGCGAUAAGCGUCGGUAAGGUGAUAUGAACCGUUAUAACCGGCGAUUUCCGAAUGGGGAAACCCAGUGUGUUUCGACACACUAUCAUUAACUGAAUCCAUAGGUUAAUGAGGCGAACCGGGGGAACUGAAACAUCUAAGUACCCCGAGGAAAAGAAAUCAACCGAGAUUCCCCCAGUAGCGGCGAGCGAACGGGGAGCAGCCCAGAGCCUGAAUCAGUGUGUGUGUUAGUGGAAGCGUCUGGAAAGGCGCGCGAUACAGGGUGACAGCCCCGUACACAAAAAUGCACAUGUUGUGAGCUCGAUGAGUAGGGCGGGACACGUGGUAUCCUGUCUGAAUAUGGGGGGACCAUCCUCCAAGGCUAAAUACUCCUGACUGACCGAUAGUGAACCAGUACCGUGAGGGAAAGGCGAAAAGAACCCCGGCGAGGGGAGUGAAAAAGAACCUGAAACCGUGUACGUACAAGCAGUGGGAGCACGCUUAGGCGUGUGACUGCGUACCUUUUGUAUAAUGGGUCAGCGACUUAUAUUCUGUAGCAAGGUUAACCGAAUAGGGGAGCCGAAGGGAAACCGAGUCUUAACUGGGCGUUAAGUUGCAGGGUAUAGACCCGAAACCCGGUGAUCUAGCCAUGGGCAGGUUGAAGGUUGGGUAACACUAACUGGAGGACCGAACCGACUAAUGUUGAAAAAUUAGCGGAUGACUUGUGGCUGGGGGUGAAAGGCCAAUCAAACCGGGAGAUAGCUGGUUCUCCCCGAAAGCUAUUUAGGUAGCGCCUCGUGAAUUCAUCUCCGGGGGUAGAGCACUGUUUCGGCAAGGGGGUCAUCCCGACUUACCAACCCGAUGCAAACUGCGAAUACCGGAGAAUGUUAUCACGGGAGACACACGGCGGGUGCUAACGUCCGUCGUGAAGAGGGAAACAACCCAGACCGCCAGCUAAGGUCCCAAAGUCAUGGUUAAGUGGGAAACGAUGUGGGAAGGCCCAGACAGCCAGGAUGUUGGCUUAGAAGCAGCCAUCAUUUAAAGAAAGCGUAAUAGCUCACUGGUCGAGUCGGCCUGCGCGGAAGAUGUAACGGGGCUAAACCAUGCACCGAAGCUGCGGCAGCGACGCUGAUGCGUUGUUGGGUAGGGGAGCGUUCUGUAAGCCUGCGAAGGUGUGCUGUGAGGCAUGCUGGAGGUAUCAGAAGUGCGAAUGCUGACAUAAGUAACGAUAAAGCGGGUGAAAAGCCCGCUCGCCGGAAGACCAAGGGUUCCUGUCCAACGUUAAUCGGGGCAGGGUGAGUCGACCCCUAAGGCGAGGCCGAAAGGCGUAGUCGAUGGGAAACAGGUUAAUAUUCCUGUACUUGGUGUUACUGCGAAGGGGGGACGGAGAAGGCUAUGUUGGCCGGGCGACGGUUGUCCCGGUUUAAGCGUGUAGGCUGGUUUUCCAGGCAAAUCCGGAAAAUCAAGGCUGAGGCGUGAUGACGAGGCACUACGGUGCUGAAGCAACAAAUGCCCUGCUUCCAGGAAAAGCCUCUAAGCAUCAGGUAACAUCAAAUCGUACCCCAAACCGACACAGGUGGUCAGGUAGAGAAUACCAAGGCGCUUGAGAGAACUCGGGUGAAGGAACUAGGCAAAAUGGUGCCGUAACUUCGGGAGAAGGCACGCUGAUAUGUAGGUGAAGUCCCUCGCGGAUGGAGCUGAAAUCAGUCGAAGAUACCAGCUGGCUGCAACUGUUUAUUAAAAACACAGCACUGUGCAAACACGAAAGUGGACGUAUACGGUGUGACGCCUGCCCGGUGCCGGAAGGUUAAUUGAUGGGGUCAGCGCAAGCGAAGCUCUUGAUCGAAGCCCCGGUAAACGGCGGCCGUAACUAUAACGGUCCUAAGGUAGCGAAAUUCCUUGUCGGGUAAGUUCCGACCUGCACGAAUGGCGUAAUGAUGGCCAGGCUGUCUCCACCCGAGACUCAGUGAAAUUGAACUCGCUGUGAAGAUGCAGUGUACCCGCGGCAAGACGGAAAGACCCCGUGAACCUUUACUAUAGCUUGACACUGAACAUUGAGCCUUGAUGUGUAGGAUAGGUGGGAGGCUUUGAAGUGUGGACGCCAGUCUGCAUGGAGCCGACCUUGAAAUACCACCCUUUAAUGUUUGAUGUUCUAACGUUGACCCGUAAUCCGGGUUGCGGACAGUGUCUGGUGGGUAGUUUGACUGGGGCGGUCUCCUCCUAAAGAGUAACGGAGGAGCACGAAGGUUGGCUAAUCCUGGUCGGACAUCAGGAGGUUAGUGCAAUGGCAUAAGCCAGCUUGACUGCGAGCGUGACGGCGCGAGCAGGUGCGAAAGCAGGUCAUAGUGAUCCGGUGGUUCUGAAUGGAAGGGCCAUCGCUCAACGGAUAAAAGGUACUCCGGGGAUAACAGGCUGAUACCGCCCAAGAGUUCAUAUCGACGGCGGUGUUUGGCACCUCGAUGUCGGCUCAUCACAUCCUGGGGCUGAAGUAGGUCCCAAGGGUAUGGCUGUUCGCCAUUUAAAGUGGUACGCGAGCUGGGUUUAGAACGUCGUGAGACAGUUCGGUCCCUAUCUGCCGUGGGCGCUGGAGAACUGAGGGGGGCUGCUCCUAGUACGAGAGGACCGGAGUGGACGCAUCACUGGUGUUCGGGUUGUCAUGCCAAUGGCACUGCCCGGUAGCUAAAUGCGGAAGAGAUAAGUGCUGAAAGCAUCUAAGCACGAAACUUGCCCCGAGAUGAGUUCUCCCUGACCCUUUAAGGGUCCUGAAGGAACGUUGAAGACGACGACGUUGAUAGGCCGGGUGUGUAAGCGCAGCGAUGCGUUGAGCUAACCGGUACUAAUGAACCGUGAGGCUUAACCUUACAACGCCGAAG
RNAcentral lists this ribosomal RNA (2925 nucleotides) under Escherichia coli. RNAcentral's name for it is "23S ribosomal RNA". It matches the Rfam family "Bacterial large subunit ribosomal RNA". Lineage: Bacteria; Pseudomonadati; Pseudomonadota; Gammaproteobacteria; Enterobacterales; Enterobacteriaceae. The record is from RNAcentral.